This 892-nucleotide long non-coding RNA is filed under the name Vigna radiata. Its description in RNAcentral is "long non-coding RNA (VRAD_LNC003926)". Lineage: Eukaryota; Viridiplantae; Streptophyta; Magnoliopsida; Fabales; Fabaceae. The record is from RNAcentral.
UCGUAAAAUGAUAGAAGAAAUUGGCUGGCCACUUUGAUUGAAAAAAUAACUCCUGUUGUACCAAACCAAUAUAACGGGUGCCUAAAACGGCUAGCCCCCCGUUGCCGAAACCGUCGUAGGUGUAGCUCACGCGCCGGAUUCUCGUCCUCCUGUUCGCGCCUUCUCCUCCGAAUCAAUGGCCAAUAGCCCGCCUAAAAGUCCUCGGCGCUCUAGAUCGCCGAUCCUCUUCGGACCUCAGGUUCUAUCCGCAACAUCCUCUCUCACUUCCGCUUCGAUUUUUCUGCAUAUGGUUUAUGCUUUGAUGUUGAAUUGAUUUUGGUGGAAUCUUUGUUUUGUUCGGUCAACUAGCUUAUUCGUCGAUUUUGCUUUCUGUGUUCAGUUGGUGAGUUUUGGUGCUAACUAAUGUCUGGUGCGUGAGAGACAGAGAGCGGGAGAUUAGGAGGCAGUGUAAGUAGGGUUGCAGGAAGAAGAAGCUUAAAAGAGAAAUCAAAGAAAAGACGAACCUGUGUCACGUACGCCGCCGUGGGUGUGUUCGCCGCUGAUGAUAAUAAAAUUCCAAAUAUAAGAUUCCUGAUCGCUGCAAAGAUUGUUGGGAGUUGGUGGUGGUCUAGGAGAUGGUUGUCCCGGAGGUGGUGGCGUGACCUGCUUCCUCGCCGUGAAGGUGGCACAGGAGGUGGUGGUUGCUUAAAAUGGCCCGCAUUGCAAAAAUAAAAUCCAAUGUAAAAUUAAUUUAACCAUUUUAAUAAUAUUACAUUUACAAAAUAUUUUUGUUAUAAAAUUACAAUUAUUUUGAAAAAAUAUUAUGGAAAUAAUUCCUAUAUGUUUUCCUAACCUUUUAAUGGUUUAAAAAAUAAAUAUAUUCUUUUCCUUGUACAGUAUAUUUUCAUAAAUG